This 486-nucleotide ribosomal RNA is filed under the name uncultured bacterium. RNAcentral describes it as "partial 16S ribosomal RNA". It matches the Rfam family "Bacterial small subunit ribosomal RNA", at positions 30 to 507 of the family's 1533-position model. The record is from RNAcentral.
AUUGAACGCUGGCGGCAUGCCUUACACGUGCAAGUCGAACGGCAGCACGGGUGCUUGCCCCUGGUGGCGAGUGGCGAACGGGUGAGUAAUACAUCGGAACAUGUCCUGUAGUGGGGGAUAGCCCGGCGAAAGCCGGAUUAAUACCGCAUACGAUCUACGGAUGAAAGCGGGGGACCUUCGGGCCUCGCGCUAUAGGGUUGGCCGAUGGCUGAUUAGCUAGUUGGUGGGGUAAAGGCCUACCAAGGCGACGAUCAGUAGCUGGUCUGAGAGGACGACCAGCCACACUGGGACUGAGACACGGCCCAGACUCCUACGGGAGGCAGCAGUGGGGAAUUUUGGACAAUGGGCGAAAGCCUGAUCCAGCAAUGCCGCGUGUGUGAAGAAGGCCUUCGGGUUGUAAAGCACUUCUGUCCGGAAAGAAAUCCUUGGCCCUAAUACGGUCGGGGGAUGACGGUACCGGAAGAAUAAGCACCGGCUAACUACGUG